This 335-nucleotide unclassified non-coding RNA is filed under the name soil metagenome. RNAcentral describes it as "partial contains 5.8S ribosomal RNA, internal transcribed spacer 2, and large subunit ribosomal RNA". The stretch from base 6 to 121 matches the Rfam family "5.8S ribosomal RNA", at positions 39 to 154 of the family's 154-position model. The record is from RNAcentral.
GAUGAAAGAACGUAGCGAAAUGCGAAAAGUAGUGUGAAUUGCAGAAUUCCGUGAAUCAUCGAAUCUUUGAACGCACAUUGCGCCCCUCGGUAUUCCGUGGGGCAUGCCUGUUCGAGCGUCAUUUACACCCUCAAGCUCUGCUUGGUGUUGGGCGUCUGUCCCGCUUUAUGCGUGGACUCGCCCCAAAGUCAUUGGCAGCGGUCGUGCCAGCUUCUCGCGCAGCACAUUUGCGUUUCUUGAAGUUUGGUGGAUCAGCAUCCAGUAAGUUCUUUUAUGACUUGACCUCGGAUCAGGUAGGGAUACCCGCUGAACUUAAGCAUAUCAAUAAGCGGAGG